RNAcentral lists this ribosomal RNA (356 nucleotides) under uncultured Geobacillus sp. RNAcentral describes it as "bacterial SSU rRNA". It matches the Rfam family "Bacterial small subunit ribosomal RNA", at positions 1026 to 1382 of the family's 1533-position model. The record is from RNAcentral. Lineage: Bacteria; Bacillati; Bacillota; Bacilli; Caryophanales; Anoxybacillaceae.
ACAGGGUGACAGGUGGUGCAUGGGUUGUCGUCAGCUCGUGUCGUGAGAUGUUGGGUUAAGUCCCGCAACGAGCGCAACCCUCGCCUCUAGUUGCCAGCAUUCGGUUGGGCACUCUAGAGGGACUGCCGGCGACAAGUCGGAGGAAGGUGGGGAUGACGUCAAAUCAUCAUGCCCCUUAUGACCUGGGCUACACACGUGCUACAAUGGGCGGUACAAAGGGCUGCGAACCCGCGAGGGGGAGCGAAUCCCAAAAAGCCGCUCUCAGUUCGGAUUGCAGGCUGCAACUCGCCUGCAUGAAGCCGGAAUCGCUAGUAAUCGCGGAUCAGCAUGCCGCGGUGAAUACGUUCCCGGGCCUU